This 603-nucleotide ribosomal RNA is filed under the name Paecilomyces sp. JH6. RNAcentral's name for it is "eukaryotic LSU rRNA". The stretch from base 219 to 372 matches the Rfam family "5.8S ribosomal RNA". Lineage: Eukaryota; Fungi; Ascomycota; Eurotiomycetes; Eurotiales; Thermoascaceae. The record is from RNAcentral.
CUUCCGUAGGGUGAACCUGCGGAAGGAUCAUUACCGAGUGAGGGUCCCUCGGGGCCCAACCUCCCAUCCGUGUUGUCCUGACACCUGUUGCUUCGGCGGGCCCGCCGUGGUUCACGCCCCGGCCGCCGGGGGGUUCACGCCCCCGGGCCCGCGCCCGCCGAAGACCCCUGGAACGCUGCCUGGAAGGUUGCCGUCUGAGUAUACAAUCAAUCAAUUAAAACUUUCAACAACGGAUCUCUUGGUUCCGGCAUCGAUGAAGAACGCAGCGAAAUGCGAUAAGUAAUGUGAAUUGCAGAAUUCCGUGAAUCAUCGAAUCUUUGAACGCACAUUGCGCCCCCUGGCAUUCCGGGGGGCAUGCCUGUCCGAGCGUCAUUGCUAACCCUCCAGCCCGGCUGGUGUGUUGGGCCGCCGUCCCCCCUCCCCGGGGGACGGGCCCGAAAGGCAGCGGCGGCGUCGCGUCCGGUCCUCGAGCGUAUGGGGCUCUGUCACACGCUUCAGUAGAACCGGCCGGCUUGCUGGCCAUCACCUAUAUUUUUCUCUUAGGUUGACCUCGGAUCAGGUAGGGAUACCCGCUGAACUUAAGCAUAUCAAUAAGCGGAGGAA